UCUGUCCUUGACCUUUCCAGUGUUGACAGUGAUGCCUUUGAAAUCCUCCUCUCCUUGGCUUCCAUAGCAAUACGCACUCCUAGAGUUUGUCACCCUCUUUUGCCCCUCCACUUCAUUCUUCUUCACAAGGGCCAGCCUUCACGUGUUGAGGUUCUUUGGGAUGCUGCCUGGCUGUUCUUCAUUGUGGACUUGAUGUUUUCCUCUAUCCUGUUGUGCACAUUCUUACGGCUUCAAUACUUUGUCUAAGCUGUUGAUUUCAAAGUUGGCAUUUCAUCCCAGCUCUCUCCUGAGUUUCAGACUGCCUUUUCAAAAGCCUACUGGGCAUCUCUAUCCAGUGGUCACCCAGGCACAUCAACUCAUUCCAAACUGGUGACUCUCCAGGUAUUUCUAUCUCACCCACCCCAAGAUGCUCAAGCAGAACACCUGGCAUCUCCUUGGGUCAUCUUUUCCCCAUCUUUAUACUUAUUCUCCAUCUAAUCCCAUCUACCCAUUACAUGUUUUUUAAAUCCAUCCACCUCUUUUCAACCCCACUGCUCAUUCCCUACAUCAUUAACAUCUUUCUCGUAGACUCCUUGACCUCCCUCCAAAUUCUUGCUGUGGUCUGAAGAAUUUUUCUAAAGUGUAAAUCUGGCCAAGUCAGUCCCCUGUGUAAGGCUCUUUCAUGGUUUCUCGUUGCUUUUAGGAUAAGUUCAAGUCCUUAUCAAGGAUCUUAAGACCUACCUUGCCUGGCCCCAGGUUACCCUCCCCAACCUAACUCAUACCACUCCCAAACACAUAUUCCAAGUUCUGACCAUACAGCACUGUUUUCAAAUCCUUGAACAAGCCAAGGGUGACUUGCCUCUGGGGCUUUUUCCUGCCAUUCUUCUUCCUGGAACACUUUCUCAGAAUCCUGUUUCUCCACUAAUUCCUAUUUGUCUUUCUGAUGCUACUCCACAGGUCCCCUCCUCCAGGAAGCCCUCCGUGUUCUCCCAGGCUAGAUGAGAGCCCCUCCUCUGUAUCCUAUAUUUCUUGGGCACACAAUAAUUCUGUACAUUUGAAGCUCAUUCUACUCUUUCUACUUCCUCUGUCCCAGCACUUAGUACAGGUGAUUGUAGCAGCCUCUUUAUGGGUCAGAGCCGCCUACAGGACCAGAAGCUUCAUGAAGCCAGCACCCCAACUUCCAACACCAGCGUCCGCAAUGCCCAACAGAGAUCCCAGGUGAGGAAGCUGAACUGACUUUGGUGACAUAUAUUCCCCAAGAUCUGACAGCUGAUGAGUGACAGAGCACGUAUUCAAACCCAGAUGAUGGAUCCAGCCACAAGUGACACUUUGCACAGGACAACCGUGGGCCCCAGCAGAGGACUGGCAGCCCCCAUGCAUGGAAGACAGCACAGCCAUGUGAAGACACAGAUGCAGGAGGGAAGAUGUCAUGAGGGCAGAAAUUGGAGUUAUGUAACUG
This 1438-nucleotide long non-coding RNA is filed under the name Homo sapiens (human). RNAcentral's name for it is "PREDICTED lncRNA (TCONS_00221627)". The record is from RNAcentral. Lineage: Eukaryota; Metazoa; Chordata; Mammalia; Primates; Hominidae.